RNAcentral lists this ribosomal RNA (314 nucleotides) under uncultured bacterium. RNAcentral's name for it is "partial 16S ribosomal RNA". It matches the Rfam family "Bacterial small subunit ribosomal RNA", at positions 495 to 807 of the family's 1533-position model. The record is from RNAcentral.
GUAUAAGAGACAGCAGUCGCCACGGUAAUACGAAGGGUGCAAGCGUUACUCGGAAUUACUGGGCGUAAAGCGCACGCAGGCGGUUUGUUAAGUCAGAUGUGAAAUCCCCGGGCUUAACUUGGGAACUGCAUUUGAAACUGGCAAGCUAGAGUCUUGUAGAGGGGGGUAGAAUUCCAGGUGUAGCGGUGAAAGGCGUAGAGAUCUGGAGGAAUACCGGUGGCGAAGGCGGCCCCCUGGACAAAGACUGACGCUCAGGUGCGAAAGCGUGGGGAGCAAACAGGAUUAGAUACCCCAGUAGUCCCUGUCUCUUAUAC